RNAcentral lists this ribosomal RNA (376 nucleotides) under uncultured bacterium. RNAcentral describes it as "bacterial SSU rRNA". It matches the Rfam family "Bacterial small subunit ribosomal RNA", at positions 524 to 898 of the family's 1533-position model. The record is from RNAcentral.
UACGUAGGGGGCGAGCGUUGUCCGGAAUUACUGGGCGUAAAGCGCGCGUAGGUGGCUUGCUAAGACCGAUGUGAAAUCUCCGCGCUUACCGUGGAGAGGUCGUUGGUGACUGGUAGGCUUGGGUUCGGCAGAGGUGAGUGGAAUUCCGGGUGGAGCGGUGAAAUGCGUAGAGAUCCGGAGGAACACCAGUGGCGAAGGCGGCUCACUGGGCCGACACCGACGCUGAGGCGCGAAAGCGUGGGGAGCGAACCGGAUUAGAUACCCGGGUAGUCCACGCCCUAAACGAUGGGUACUAGGCGUGCGGGGUAUCGACCCCCUGCGUGCCGAAGCUAACGUGAGAAGUACCCCGCCUGGGGAGUACGGCCGCAAGGUUGAA